UGAUCACCCUGUACCACACUGCUGACUUGUUGAUGUUUUGUGAGCACUCAGGCAUUUCUCUAGGUAUCUUAAGUUUCCUACUGGAGUCAUCAAAACUUUGGACUUUGUUAUUGUAAGAAAUAUUGUGUUGCAAAAACACUUUGUGUCUUACCCUUGCCGUUACCCUAACCUUAACCCCAGUAACAUUUCUUCAUCAUAAACUACAAGUUACGCAAACAUCCAGUCCUAUAUGAAAGAAAAAAGCUAGCUUUAUUAAGGAAUCGAACCCCUUA
Long non-coding RNA from Gadus macrocephalus (Pacific cod), 272 nucleotides. RefSeq lists it as uncharacterized. The record is from RefSeq and is a predicted model, not a curated record. The transcript has 2 exons. NCBI's taxonomy places the organism in Eukaryota, Metazoa, Chordata, Actinopteri, Gadiformes, Gadidae.